ACCUUAAUGAUUCCAUGAUUCUACGAUUCUAUGAUUUGUAGAGCGAUGGAGAGAGCCAGGGCAGGCUGGGAACGUGGCAGUAGUGCCGUGAAACCCAGCAUUUUGCAGGACACAUCCAGCACUCUGCUUCUUGCAGGCUUUGCUGUGAGCACUGCAGCAGUGUAUGGAAGCUGUGCCUUGCGUGAGCUGCAGACUCUUAGGUCAGCUGGCACUGGAGCUGUGUGGAGCCUCUUCUUAUUUCUAAACCACUUGCAGACCGAGAAGUAAGAAAUUCCUACUAUCAGAAAUGAGGAGAAAAUAGACCUAUUAGGUCCAGUAAUCUGUUACCCUUGCCAAUGCAGUGUGUUCUCUCCGGAGACCUAUCAAGUGCCUCGUUCAGCACAGUUUUAGCUAUUCAAGUGAUGCUGCUUCCACUGUGUCCCGUGGGAGACCUCUAGGAACACUCUACAAGACAAAGGCAUCUUUCCAAUUUCAGCCCGUGGUUUUCAUUGCUCUACCCCGUCUCCCGGUGCUCGCUCAUCCUUAAACCUUGUUACAUCUGACCACUGCGGUGCUCCUGCCUUCCAGCGCUGCUGGUGCUGGGCUGGAGCCAUUGAUUGGGUCAGCGGGGCGUGUUGGGUGAGCUUGUGUCAGCUCCUGAUGCUCAGCAUUUGCAUUCUGCUGCUGCCCGCAGGUUGGUCCCCACCGGUCAGACCCCCACGCCUUGGUCCCAGGACCUCCAGCCCCCAGAGCAGCUCCGUUUCCGGGCUGGGCCCGGCACUGCCAGCAGCAGUUCCCUGAUGGAAGAGGGUGCUUUUCUUCCUGCUCUAACUUACAUUUUUAUUGCUGCUUACCUGGGAGCAGGGGCUGACACCCACUUUGCCACAACCUCCUCUCUGCACAUGCGGCCAGCACCAGAGCACCUAUGGGGGCCAUACAGUGAUGCUGUGGCCUCUGCAACAAAGUGGGAUUUGGUGACAGCUGCAUCUAUCCAGUGAUAGAUAUCUUUUUGGUGAUAGCUGCCACGUGGGUUACGGGCUUUUGUUUCCCUCUUUUUCUUUACAGGCACUGAAGAUUAGUAUUUUGGAAAAAUCCAACACAUGUUAAUACCGUGACCUGCAAGGUUAGCGUCAAUAGAGAUGGGUUGGUGAUCUUUAAAAGGAGAUUUUCUCAGGGUGAAGGACAAACAUGACAUAAGAGUCAUCAUACUCCCCAUCUGACAAGGACACAUAAAUUGUAAAUGGUCAGGGGCACAGAGAUCAGGCUGUGUUUCCUCCAGACGCUUCUCCACCGGCACAGGGACUGCCACCUCUCAUCUGCACCUUGUGCCACGUGCUCUUGGGGAGAGGAACAAUUAAUUGCUGCUCCUGGUGCCCACUGUUGCCCGUAGGUGGGAGUGCAGAGCUGGGCUGCAAGGCUGAGGAGUGCCAGGGUCCAGUCCCAGACUCUUUACACCUCAGGCACCCCACUGGCUCCAGGGAGGUCAGGUGGCCCCAGUCCUUGUCCCCAGUGGGGACAGCGUUCAUAUGAAACCAGUACUGCACCGGCUUGGCGAGCCUCAGGAAACUGGGCAAAGCGCGGCUCCCACUGCACCACUGUACAUCUGUGGGAACCUCAUGGGACUGAGGAACAUCGCUGGAUUGGGUCUAUAUAGGAACCUCAUUGGAUUGGUUCUGUAUAUGAACCUCAUCAGAUUGGCACUGUGUAGAACCUCACUGGAUUUAUCCCAUCUGAGCAAGAGCAUGACUGAGAUGAGUUUAGUCAUUGAACUGCAAUUAAGAGCGAGAAGGCAAUCAGCAUGCACACAGAGCCUGGAGUUGUGCAGAGGGAGGAUGCUCAUUCCUACUGAUCUGGUGAGGAGCUUCUGCCUAUGGGUGCAGUACCCUUUGCGCAGCCAGAAGAAAUCCAGUAAAAACCUGGGUGCUGUUCCUCACAGGAGACCUUCAGAUGUGUCACAUUCAGCGAGCAGCAGUGUUCCGAAGUGUUGCUGUAAGAGUUUUGAAGUUCCCCUGCCUGUAAAUUAAAGUGUCUGCAAGUGCUCACAGUUCUCAGACAGUCGCUACUCACAGCACAUGGCUAAGAUAAUCACGGGGAAUUCCGUGCAAAAUAUUCCUCAUUUUUUGUAACCUGCUCAUUCAUGUGCUUGUUUAGACAGUCGCUUGCAUUCAAUUAAGAACAUUUCAAUUUACCUUUUAAGAAUUUGUACCGGCAUAAAGUAGUUGGAGAGAUGUGGAUGUUCCCAGUAUCCCUGAGCAACCAGCACCAGCAGCCCUGGGUUAGAUUUAUGUGCACCGGAUUAAAUGACCCUUUCCUGAGAAGAAAGGAAUCGACUGAGCGGGAAACAAAGAGCAAGCGGGGAGAGCAGAACUUCUGUCCCCCUCUGCUCGUGCUCCGCAAACUGCGGGGAGAGGCCGAGCAGAAGCGCGGAGCGCGAGCAGAGUGCCCCUGCCCAGCAGGGCUGCGAGCCCCGCGCAGAGAGGUGGGAGAAAUCCUAGCCUUGAGAGGAACAAAACCAUGCCAAGUGCCACUUUGCUAUCGAAAUAUUGCCUCCGUCCUCAGCGUAUGUAGAAGUGUGUGCACCUUAUCGCAGUCUGGUGAAUGUCUCAUCCGUGUGUGUGCGCAUCUAUGAGCAUUUUCUGAUGAAUCCCAUCAGAGCGCAUUGUGGUGCACAUUACCAGAUCCGGCAACGUAGCAAUGCUAUCCACAUUUAAUUAGUAAGACGUUUCUUCUCCGUGCGUAUUUACUUGAAUUCCUGUUCCUACGGCAACCCGGCAGCAGCGCAGCGCCGGGAGCAGCCUGGAAGGGCACGGCGAUGAGCGGGCGCGCUCGGUGCGAAGAUGGUGCUGCAAAGCACGGGCUCGGCCGGGGCAGCGUCACAAAGGCGGCUCAGAGCAGCUCCUGUUUCACAGAGCCCAUUGAUAGCGCGCCCGGUUUGUGCUUGUUCACGGGUACCCGUAGCACACGGGCUGGGAGAGACGGCUCGCUUAGCGCUGAGCUCUCAGUAAUUGGCUAUCAGCUCAGAUCUGCAAUCCGGCGGGUGUAAUUCAGGCGCGCAGGACGCGGCUCUGCGGACACGGCCAUACAUCACCUCGGCACCCGAGGCGCAGGCACGGCCGCUGUGCGGUGCGUCCCCGGCUCACACCUCCCCUCCGUCCUUCCCCGGGAGCAGUGAGCGAACGAACCAGUUGCACGUCUGCACUGAGCAAGCCGAAGCAUGAAUCCCGAAGGCGUGAGCGGAAACAAAGAGCACAACGUUUCGGAGGCACCUGACAGAGCUCAAUGCCUCAGCUGCUGGCAGGCCAUGGCUUUCGGAAGGUCGGACGGCGAGCGGCGCGGUUCCACCAGGCAGGGCAGCCCGCCCCAUUGGGGGUCCAGCAGCGCCCACCCCCAGCUGGAGUCGCCGGAGCGGACAGGAGCUGCCGGAGCGGGGCUGCGCUGUGCCGAGGAGCUCCGAGCCGAUUGUUUUAAUACCAGAGUGACACCAAAGGGGGUCAAGUAAAUAAAUAUGCAUGCCUCACUAGUUCAAAAUAAUAAAAUUCCAAUGUGUGCAA
Numida meleagris (helmeted guineafowl) is the source of this 3530-nucleotide long non-coding RNA. RefSeq lists it as uncharacterized. NCBI's taxonomy places the organism in Eukaryota, Metazoa, Chordata, Aves, Galliformes, Numididae. The record is from RefSeq and is a predicted model, not a curated record. The transcript is spliced from 3 exons.